Long non-coding RNA from Oxyura jamaicensis (ruddy duck), 1106 nucleotides. RefSeq lists it as uncharacterized. The transcript has 2 exons. Lineage: Eukaryota; Metazoa; Chordata; Aves; Anseriformes; Anatidae. The record is from RefSeq and is a predicted model, not a curated record.
CUUUAUGCUCUGCUAGCUGGUCUUGUCCUUAAAAAUCUAUGAAUUAAAUUCUUCCAAUUGUCUGGACUUCUUGUAUUGAUACACCCAGCAUGUGGUGUAUUGUCUGUAAUGCUACUGCACACGUUCUGUUACAGGCAGCUGUUCUUGCGUCCAUAACUUUUCAGACUUCUCUGGCUCGUUCACCUUGAUUUUAUUUUUCCUUGAUAUUAUAUCUUUUACAUAGUUGAAGUCAAGGCAGUUGCCUGGUAAAGAAAUGUGGUGCUGCUGUGAACUGAGCAGUGGAGGAAAUUCCUUAAAUGAAGUCCAAGGAGAAACUGGCUCUGGUCUUACUGUUCUGGCUAUUUACUUAUCACAGACAAACUAAAACAGGACUACUGGCUUAGUUGGGAUAUUUAAUUGUAAAUCCUAAUUAAAAUAUAAUUCCUUUUUUUGUGUGUGUGUUAAGCAAAUUUGUCUGAGUUUGUGUGUGGUGUCAACUUAGAGUGCUUCCUUUUUCUUUGCCCAUGGUCCCACAGGUGCUUGAAAGUCACUGGCAGCAGUAACUGCAUGUUAGAAAGCCAAACAGUGCAUUUAUCCUUACCAAAAGGACACCUUAUGAGUCACAGCCAAACAAGAUCUCCGUGCAGUUCUCCAAUUCAUAUGCAGCCUUUUUUUUCAGUCUGAGGCUGUUUAAUAAGCCGACAGAAAAACCUCUGCUUCCGUUUUCUUUCAGAAUUGCUAUUUAUCAGAGCAGUCCUGGUUUCAUAAUGAACAAAUUGCCAAUUCCAGAAAAACAGGUGCCUGCCCUGCCCCACUUCAUACUUUGUGCCUAACUUACACAACUUGCAAAGUCUGUCUUCUGGCAGCUUUAGCAGCUCCAUACUCCAACACCUUUUCUCAUCUAUAUGCUGUCACUUUCUUGUGUGCUGCUGAAGCUGAUUGUGGAACCGGGCAGUAAAAUGGCUUUGGGAGCCAAUUUGGUUUUAAAAAUAACCAUAUUCUUGCUGGGUUAUUUUAAAAAUAGAUCAUUUUUCUAAUCACAUUUAAAGUGUAAUCCAGAAAAUAGUCGUGCUGUUCUAGCCGAGGGAGCAUUAAACUGAUACAGCGAGUUAAAAAAAAAAAAAAAA